AAAGUGGAACUGAACCAAAGGACAAUGUUCUUACCUUAUCCACUAAUGGUUCACGAUUAUAAGGUGAUUCAUGCUCAAAGUAUUCGUAUACAAGCUGACCAAGUGCACUGCAGCUUCCAUUCUCAUCACUUGAUGAACCUGUGAAAGGUUUACUUGCAAGUGAAAGUCUUUCCAGACCAAGGUUGCUUGCAUCUGAUAAGUUAGGAAGGUUUGAACUGCCAUUAACUACACUUUUAGAUCCUCUUUCAUGAUGAUAGCCACUGCUGCUGUCGCUGCUCGUGUCUCUAGCUGAUUCAGAGUCACUCUCCUUACUGGGUUUCCUGUAAUAACAUGGAAAAGUUAAUGAAUCUGUUGUGUAGAUGCACUAAAAGAGUUCAUGGAAAAGGCUUGGAUAUAGGUGUCUAUCAGUUAAAAUUGGAUAAAAACAGACGAGGGAAAUGAUAGAGUACUGCAUGGUACAUAUUACUAGCAUGUAUAUGAUUUGGUUUUCAUUAUAAAGUUAUGGGUUAAACAUGUAUCCUACUAAGUGUCAUUUAGAGUUUGCAAGCAAUAUCAAGUCUAUGAGCAAUAGGACAAACUAGAUUCAGAAAAACUUCUGGUGGCUGGUGACCAUCUUACUAACAGUUAGUGUGAUCUACAAGUUAUAUCAGCAAUCUGCAGUUCUGUAAACAUUAUAGAUGAUUUGUUGAAUUUAAAUUUUAUGUAUUGCAAGUGUAAACAAACUUCACACAUUCAUCCAGACAUGUUGUAAUACAUCAUUAGAUGAACUAGUUUUACAUGGAUAGUACGUCAAAACUAAACUCUAAUUAGUGUAUAGGCCAUCCGGUCUUGCAAGUUAGAGGAUCAAUUAUCCGAGUAUGUGUACAGCUGACGAUGGAUCAGUAACAGACAGCAUCAGAAGUAACAAUCACUCUUUUUUAUUCACAUGACUUGGGUAGGCAACAAUCUAUAAUCUAGUAAUAUAAUACUAAGUUUAAAUCAGAGGAAAAUCUUCUAGUCUGCAAUUCUGAAUCACAUUACUAAUAAAAUCAUCAAUGAAAUGGCCUAAAAGAUCUUACUUCUAAGCUACGUAGAACCGAAACUUCAGAUAAUGUUUGACAUGUGUUGAUAUCGGACACAUGUCGUGUCGGUGUCCAAGACACUGAUACAACACCGACAAAUGUGGUUAUAUUCAUUUACUUUCAAUUUCUCGAAUUAUUACCAGUGUCUCUGUUAGGGGCAGAGCUAGGAUCUAAUAGUAGUUUGGGCAAUGACCAAUCAACUUAACAUGAAUUGAAGACCUAUCACAUAAAUCAGUGUGCUGGUCUACAUGUGCUCUCGUUAUUGUGUUUUUAUGAUUUGUUGAAUAGACACAGGAAAGCAAAGCAGUUGAUCACCCCAUCUGUACUAAUUAUUGCAUAUGACAUUUACAACAACAACCAAGUCUUAUCCCACUAAGUGGAGUCGACUCAAUAGAUCAAAUUAUGCCAUAAUGUAUUAUCAUAAACCAUAUUCCGAUCCAACUCAUUAAUCUCUAUUAUCUUUCUUAAUAUAGUUUUUCUAGGUCUUCCUUUGCCUCUAGUGAUCUGACUAUACUCUACAUGGUCUACUCUCCUUACUACAGAAUCUGUAGGUCUUCUCUCUACAUGUGCACACCACCUAAGCGUAGUUUCCAUCAUGUUUGAAAAAUUAUUCAAAAAAUUUGGCAGGGGCUCCCCUGUAAGUCUAUUACCAUACACCUACAUCCGCCCCUAGUCUAUGUUAGUAUCAGUGUCGUAUCUCAUGUCCGUGUCUAAGUACUUCAUAGCUUCUGAGAUCCUUCUUCUAAAUGCUUUUAGUUUAUACUAGUAGCAAAGAACUACCUCAAAACCUAUUUAAGGCAAAAGAACAUACAACUUUCCAGCAAGUUGAAAAAGGCAAAAAAGAGAGAAAAAAAGUGAGGAAAAAACAAGCUUCAUAAACUAUUAUAGGGAAUAAUCUAAAUCAACGACAAAUCAUCAACAUAAAAAAUGUUUGGCCUGUCAUUGAAAAUAAACAAACAUUCAUCUGGUCCCAAAGCAACCAUGAAGUAUAUUUCGAAUUUUCGAAUGUUAACCCCAAAUGUAGCAAGAACAAUACAUCAAAAUGUUCAAAUGAAAGGAAUUAAAUCAAUCACUGGAAAAGCAAAUCAAGAACAGUUAUUUUCAUACUGAAGAAAGCGCUAACCUUAACCGCAGGGAAGGCUUUGAUGGAUCAAUAUAUAGCUGAAUAGCAGACAAAGAGACAUUGUAAUACUGUUUAACAGAUUCAUUCCCACUCAAUACCAAUGGAACACCAGCUCCAUAUACACUCCACUCCUUGAAAGAUUCCCACAAGUCCCCAAGCACAAAGUAUGGUUGCAGUUCUGGCUCCACUGUUUUCCAUCUUCUCUUACUUUUCUGUUUGUUCACACAUAAAUAAGCCAAACAAUUCUCUUUGAAAUUAAACCAAAAAAACCUAACACCACCUUAAAAUAGUCAAAAACAACCACAAUACACCAUUUCUUUGCAUUAUUAACACAAUUCAGUGGAUUGUUGCAAAGUAAGUUUCAUCCUAAUAACAUUAUUUAUUUGGUUCUAAAGAGCCUAGCGGUGAAACUCAAACACACAAAGUACUGAGAAGCGAGAAAUUGUAGGUUUGAACAUGUGCCCUAACAUAUCAAAUGUCUUUGCAACCUUUUACCAUCUGAGUUAUACUUACAAAAUAGUUUUAUCCUAAUAACAAAUUAAAUACUUGAACACAUUAAUUCAUAAACAACCACAUUACACAAUCUAUUCCCACUGUUAACUCAAUUGAAAGGAUAUUACCAAAGUAAGUAUAAUCCUAAUAAUCAAUCGAACACUUGAUCACAUUAAUUCAUAAACCUAACUUCUCUCAUUAAGUAGUUCGGUCGGUGAACUAAGAGACAUUGAACAUUGAAACAAUUUAAAAAUCAUGAAAACUGACAUAACCACUACCUUACUAACAUAACAUUUCUGUAUAAACUUUUUUUUCCAUAAACCGAACACAAAGUUUGAACCCUAAAAACCAACAUAACAAAUAACUUACUAUGCCUAUGUUUGGUUCCAUGUUUGAAGUAGAAUUGAUUCUAAUCUGAAUGUCUUUUGAAUCUAAAAGUGAUUUUUACACUUAAAUUUAUUGUUCAAAUCACUUUACAUUCAAUUCACUUAUAAGUAAAAUCAAUUUAACAAAAUCAAUUCGUUUCAAAAUCAAUUUUUACUAAAAACUAUCAAAAUCGCUAAUUUACUAUCAAAAUUCAUGAACAAAAACACAAUAGUUUGAAUCCUAAAAAUUAUCAAAAUCACUAAUUUACUAACAUUUGUCAAAACAAUUCAUAAACCCAACAUGAAUUUGAUUCAAAUUCCAAACAUUUAACAGAAAAUUAACAAAAAUCGAACUCAUAAAAUAAAUAAUUAUUAAAUAAAAUUGAAAAGCAUUGUUUUACUUUACCAAUGGAAAACUAUGAGCGGGAACAUGCGGCGUGGUAUGCUCAAGAAACCGACACAAAUUAGAAGCAGCAUCAACGGUUGUUUCAAUCGAAGUGGAAGAAACAGAGUUAUCAGAAGAGGAACAAGGUGUGUUAUUGUUUUCAAUUAACGUUAAUUCAUGUUCCUCUUGUUGUUCCUGUUCCUGUUGUUGUUGUUGUCUCUGUUUCCGUAGCGCCGGUGGGCAGUAGAAACGAUUCUCGACGUGAUGGCGGGUGUUACGACGGCCGACGAUGACGGCGCCACCAGAGACCGACAUUGUGUUUCCGGCGAUGAUGAAACGACGACGUUGAGAUGUAUGUAAAGGUAGGUCAAGAGUUUUGAUUGAGUCCAAACAAAACAAUAAACAAAGUUUUGUGACUCUGUGUGUGUAAGUGUUAGUUAAGUGAAAAUUGUGAACUGUGAAACACAUGGGUUUUAACUUUUUUUUUUUUUUUUUUAAUUUAUUUUAGUCAAAAAUAUAAAGUAUUUUAAUUUAUUUACACUCAAAAAUUAUAAACUUUUAAUUUAGUUGCAGUCAAAAAAUAAAAAUCAUUUUUUUUAAGGAAAAAAAAAAAACUUUCCCUUCUACGGUAGUUGAUUUAUUGAGAAGUAGUACAUACUUCUAGAAUGAUAUGUAUUCCGUCCCCACGCCUAAGCACUCUUUUUGACUAAGAAUUUGUCUUUAAUAUAAAGUUUUUUCAAAAAAUUACAUGCAUUUUUGUAAAAUAUAUCCCUAAUUAAUACUACUAAUUUAUUUUAAAAUAUGAAAAAUCAAAUUUAAUAUGCAUACAAAUAAAGGACAAUCUAGUAAUAUUAACACAUAAAAUAAACAUAUUAAUUGCACUAACAAUUUUUCUUAAAAAAUGUGAAAAAUGCAAAAUGUGUUUGCAUAUACAGGGACAAAGGAGUACUCUCUCCGUUUCUAGUUAUAAGUAAAAUUGACUUUUUAGAUUCAUUUAAUUAAUGUUGUAUGUAAUUCAUAUUAUGGACCACAUAUACUAUUAAUUUAAUAAAUCUAAAAAAAUCAAUUUCUUAUAAUUAGAAACUAGAAACUGAGGGAGUAAUAAGGAAGGAAAGGUAGGACACUAGAAGUGUCUAGAAAUAGGAUGGGUUACUCAAAGUAGGUCCAUAAGUUACUCAAAUAUUUUUCACUUAAUAUCGUACUAUUAUUAAACUUCAGAUAUAUAUUUUUCGUAUUUAUUUAUUCUUUUGUUGUGGGAGGGAGAGAAUUUUAUUAGUAAUAGUGUACUAAUAAUCAAAUUAUAAUUGUCUUGAAUGAGAUUCAAACUCUAUUUAUAAUAGUAUCAAACUCUAAUCAUUGAGCUGAUAUCUUUUUGACAAAAAGAAAAACACAAUGAAUCGAAAGAGCCUAAAAAUUACACAUAGUAUAUACGAGGUUUUAUUUGGGUGACAUAAAUGUAUUUUGGAUAAGAGAGAAUGAUGAAUGAAUGAUUAAAAUAAUUUAUUUAAAUGAGAGAGACUGAUUGAUUAAGAGAGAAAUAUGAACAAUGUCACCAAUAUCACCUAAAAACCAAUGUCAUCCAACUGCAAUCCAUAGAAUAUGAAACCUAGUUGGAAAAUAACCAAUUAGACAUCAUUCACUUUGUUUGUAUGUAUCCUUAAUGAUUAGGACCGAAUGACUUAACGCACGAAUUAAAAUUAAAUGCAAAAUAUAUUUUCUUUUUUAAGUUCAAAGGUUUCAUCAGGAUACAUAUAGUGUGGCAUUCUAGCAACACAUGAAUUCCAUCUUCAUAAUUAGCACUAGAAACAACACAAUUAGUUUGACACGAUACAUAUGUUGUGGGAAAGUAACCACGACAAACUCGCCACACCAAAUUCUUAAUCUUUGGUGGAACUUUGAGUUUCCAAAUUAAAUUGUAUCUCCCAAGUCUACGUAAAUGAGAGUUACCAACAAUAUUAUCCACACACGCGUUGUCGCACUGCAUACAAAAUAUUUACCAUUCUUCUCUGUCUUCCAUAAUAACUAAUACUUACCAUUUUUGUACCUUCUCUUUUAUUGACUAAAAUUUAUAUGAAGCCAUCAAAUUAUGAGGUUCAUAUAAAUUUGCAUGACACAUGCUAGUUAAUAAAAAAAAUUAUUAUAAAAUGUACAUGUUGCGAUACAAACAUACUAUUUUAAUUUUCUUAAUAUGCGUAAGUUUGUACAUGAUAAAAAAAUUCUUAUACUAAAUGUGUUUUUUUGUUGAUGAAAGCGAAAAGUGUGUUUUAAAUAGCAUUAUUCAUGGUAGUAAUUUUUACACGAGAGAGAUUAAAAUUUAAUUUGUCAUCAUUUAAAAGCAAAGAAAAUUACAUAACAAGUUUAUAUUGGUAAACUUAAAUAGGGGUAAUAGUCAUUUUAAUCCUGAAUGUGUAAUGAGUAGUCAGUAAAAUCCUUCAAUAUAUCAACAUUUUAAAACAGUCUCUAAUUAUGCCAUUCGUUAGUUAAAAAUAGUCCCAGUAAAAUAUUUUUUUGUACUGAGAUAUUAUUUUAGCUUCAAAACUAUUUUGACUAAUAAAAUGCACAAUCAAAAACUAUUUUAAAAUUUUGAUAUAUUCAAAGAUUAUUGUUACUAUUCAUUACAUAUUUAAAGAUUAAAAUGAUUAUUACCACUUCUAUACUACUGCAGUACUACUAAGAAAUUAGGUGAUAGGAUCCAUUCUCUAUAGCAAAUAGUACUGUCAGUAAAAAGUAGUAGAAGAGAAUUAAAGUUCACUCACCAGCUUGAUUGAAUUUUGAACCCCAUAAAGCUUGAAGAUUUGACUUGUCUCGAAGUUUCUAGAUAUUACGAGGCUUGUUUGAUUGAGUUUUGUUUACUUUUAAAAACUCUUUUGACCCUUAACUAUUUAAUUGGUAUCGCUUUGGUCCCUUAAUUAAAAAAAAAAAUUGUUUGAGGAUUUUAAGUUUUUUUUUAGUCUCGUUUUGGUCCAUUCUGUUAGAUUUCCGUUAGAAUUUUAAAAAAAAAUUAACUCCUGGACACAUGUCACCUUGUCAUUGGCUCUAAGUUUUUUUUUUUUUUUUUAUAAAAAAAAAAUCUCAGAGCCAAUAACAAGGUGACACGUGUCCACACUUAACGUUUUUUAUUAAAACUAACAGAAACCUAACAGAAGGGACCAAAACGAGACUAAAAAAAAACUUAAAAUCCUCAAACAAUCUUUUUUUUAGUUAAGGGACCAAAGCGAUACCAAUUAAAUAGUUAAAGGACCAAAAGAGCAUUUAAGCCUUUUUAAAAACUAUUUUCUAAAUCAAUUUUAUGAAACUGUUUUUCAAAUGAAAAAAAAAAAAAAAAACAGUUUGAUAAUUCUAUUUUUAAAAUUGUUUUGGGAAUGAAAAAAAUUGUUUGAUAAUUUGUUUUUAAAAUAUGUUUUGAUUAUUUAUUUCAUAAAAAGUAUAUUAAAUUUCUGGUUACACCCAGUUUUUUUAAAAAGUUUUUUAUAAUACCAAAAUUAUCCUUUUAUAUAAAUUUUCUUAAAAUCUUGAUUUCAUUCAUUGUCACUCUAAAAUUCCACUCUCUUUCACUCACCAACGAUUAAACAAUCCUGAUGUUCAAUUAAUCUCUAUGGAAGAUUAAAGAGUGAAUCCAAACAUCUUUCAUUCAUACUCGAUUGCAUAUAAAUAAGUGAAUUUUUUUUUCUUUUUCAAUAACGUUGGUUUCAAUUUUCUUCUUCUUGUUUAACUGCACUAUACGACAGUUUCAGUUUUACAUUGUUGACGUUAACUUAAAUUCAGUUUAAGUAGGUUCAUGUAAACUUAGUUUACAUAACCUAUUUAAACCGAGUUUAAGUAUGUACACUUAAACUCAGUUUACAUGACCUACUUAAACUAAGUUUACAUGUAUAUACUUAAAUUGAUAUUACGUAUAAUCAUUGAAGAAUGUUGAACUUUUAGAUGUACACUUAAACUUAGUUUACAUGACCUACUUAAACUGAGUUUACAUGACCUACUUAAACUGAGUUUAAGUAUGUAUACUUAAACUCCGUUUACAUGAGCGACUUAAACUAAGUUUACAUGAUCUACUUAAACUGAGUUUAAGUAUGUACACUUAAACUUAGUUUACAUGACCUACUUAAAAUAAGUUUACAUGUACAUACUUAAACUGAGAUUACGUAGAAUCAUUGAACAAGGUUGAACUUUUAAAUGUACACUUAAACUCUCCCUACUAAAACUGAGUUUAAGUAUGUACACGUAAACUCAGUUUACAUGACCUACUGAAACUAAGUUUACAUGACCUACUUAAACUGAAGAGGGAUUUUAGGGUGUAACCAAGAAAAAAGGAAAAUGCUUUUUGAAAAUUAAAUUUUAUGAAAGGGUAAUUUUGUCAUUUUAAGGUGCAAUCAGGAUUAAACAUGGUGUAAUUAGAAAAACUCUUAAAUUUAUACUUUAGUUUUUUAUAAGUAUAAUACAGUAUCAAAAGAGAUUAAUAAUUAUAAACCUUAAAAUUCCUCUAGAAAAAAGUAGGAAACUUAAAUGUGUCAUUUUUUACACAAACAUCCCGUUAGAGUUGUUCGCAAGUAUGCGUCGGAUAGAAAGGUCAUGACUCAGACAAAUCAACGAGGUCAAUUUAGAUUUCCUCAUAGUUUACACUAAAUCCGACCAAACCCGAAUUGAUUUGGUUCAAUAAUAGACUUAUGAUUUUAAACUGAUAAAUCUAUAAGUUGAUGGUAAAUAAUAAUUUUUCAAAAUUUACAUUGACUUAGUUUAGGAGUUUUGAGUGGUGUAUCUUGAGGUAAUUCAAUUUAGUUUAAAUGUUAAAGUUUUAAAUAAUGGACUUCAAUCAAAAUAUUAUGGGAGGGGUUUGUGUGAAUUUGACAAAAACGUUAAGGCAUCUAGUGAGGCGACGCUAAGAUGAAAUGUCAUCAUAGGGGAAACUCUUGUCAUGGUAGAGUUUAACAUAAAGAUUCAUGGGAGUAGUGAGUGGUUUGGAACCAAGUAAGCUCGUAUAUAUUACUAAGUUAAAGCAAUACUUGUGCAGGAAGAUGUAGAGUUACCAAGAUGUGAAUAUGCAACUUCUAAACCUAGGAAACAAUUAGUUAUUUAAUGAGCAAAUCUUGUCUUGGAAGUACCAACAAUGAUUACAUCAUCAUCAACAUAGAUCAAUAGGUCUUUAAUGGCUUUAUUUGGAUGCAUCUAAGAAAGUUAAAGGAAAGAGUAAGAAGGGAAAGAUUGUCUAAGGAAAGAAAAAGAGUAGAAAGUGAGAGGAUUGUUUUGGUUGUUUGGUACAAGGGAAAGUGGAAUAGAAAGUUGGAGGAAAGAAAGAUCUAUAUUUUCUAAUUGACAUAAUUGCCCUUAAACAAAAAUAAUAUGUUAGUAUAUAUAAACAUUGUAUGUACUUUAGUAGAAGAAUAAAAUAUGUCAUACAACAAUCGAAUCAUGUAUGCCUAGAGACUAACAAAAAGUUAAAUGGUGAAUUACUUAAAAAAAGCUAGGUGUGAAUUGAAAAAAUAAUAAAGAGACACCAGCACGACGACUUGCAAAAACGCAAAACCCACCAGAGCCACGACGACUUGCAACAAAGUGAACGCACGACUAACCGAAUGGAUUCCAAACCCAUCAACCACCUUGGAUUUGCAUCGCGUCCAGCAGUAAGAUAAACUCCGGUGAAGAUAAACGAGUCGCGGUGGUGCCGCCGACUGAAACCCCAUUUGGGGGUUGGUGAUGGAAGCCAUCCAAGACAAGCAACCACCACCACUUUUAGAUCUACAUCUUGAUGACGAAAUUUUGGAUUUGGGAGAAGAAGAGAUUGGUGUUUUUGACUUUAGAACUGAUUACAUAAUUUGAAACUUUUAACUUUAAAAGUGAUUUUUACAUUCAAAUUUAUUGUUCAACCCAUUUAUGUAAAUGUAUUUAUAUAAAUCACAUCACAUUCAACUCAUUUUGAAUUAAAAUUAUUUUUACAAAAUCAAUUUAUUCAAAAUCAAAUUUUGUUACCGUAAAUCAAAUAUACACAUGUUUCGAUAAGCUUCUGGUAUUAGAAAAUUUCGGUGUUCGAAUUGCAGUGACUCAUUGUGAUUUUGACAUCUAUGUUGUUUCUAACUAAAUAAAUAGUUAGUAUUUGGUUCAACAUUUUUUUCUUCUUCUUCUCUUUCUUCUUUCUAGAAUGGCGUCUUAAGACUGCAAUAUUUAUAGAUAUUUAUUGAGAGAGACUGCAAUAUUUCCUCUUUUUUGGAUAAUAUGAAGCAGAAAGAGUACACAUUUGUUGAAUAUAAUGCCGUAUAAUACGUGGUUCUUUGAAUGCUUCCAACUCAAGUUUUGACCUGUUCACAAAAUUCUUCAGACUCACCUUAAACUAAACCAGCUUGACAGUUUGAUAUUAUUUUUUUAAAGAGCAAAAAACGUCAUCGAAUUAAAGAAUAUUAAUCAAUUAAUUAAUUAAUUUUUUUGGUCUUGAUCAAUUAAUUAAUUAUACCAGUGGUAAACAUAAAAAACAGAUCUACAGUCACGCGGCAACAAAUCCAAAAAAGUAUGUCAAUGUCAUUAUUUGGUAAAUAUUUUAUUUAUCAACUUCAACUUUCAAGUUGCCCUUAAGAAACUUUCAAGUUUAAACUAAGACCUCAAAAAAAAAAAGUUAAUAAACUAAGACCUCUAAAAACAAAGGUAAUAAACUAAUAAGAAUAUUCUCUCAACAAAAAAUGAAACUAAGAAGAAUAUAUUUUGCUUAUUUACCAGAAAAAAAUAUUUUGAUUAGUCAAAAGAAGAAGAAUAUUGUGAAUUAAUUUGACACUGACGAUUUUUAGAGCUGUAGAUAUUUACGUAUUUAAUUGUUGAUGUCCAUUCAAGUGAUUUAACUUAAGUUGAGGUUUAUUCUUUUGUUACUAAGUUGGAGGUGGAGAAGGAGACUAUUUGCAUAGGAGGAGAAACGACCAGUAAAGUAGAGUGUGUUAUGUUGCUUGAUAAUAUUUUUUUUUUUGUAGGAUAAUGUAUUAGAUAAAUGGAUUUAGAAACAUUACCCUAUCAAAGGGUACACGGUAAAGGAGGUCAUCAUAACCCUAUGCCUAAUGAUCCACUUACUAUAGAUUUGCAUUCAAGCUUAAUUAGGAACAAAGCAGAACCUCUCAAGGUGUAAUUUUUCACAUGACGAACAAAGCAAUUCCUUUAUGAUAUAAAAUGUCAAUAUUGUUAUUUCUUUUUAAUCAAAGCAUAAUAAUAAAAAAAAAAACUUAUAAAAAAACUCAUCAAAUUCAUAAACAAACCUAAAUCUUCAUCAUAUAAAGAUAAAAACCCAAAGUUUAUUAAAAUUUUGCUAUAAAAAGGAUAACAAUUUUGACAUUUUAUAACGUAAAUGAUUAAAUCAGAAAAAGAAAAAGAUAACGAAGGAAAGUGUUACCUGAUUAUAAAAUAAAUUAUUAAAUUGAAAAAAAAAGUUAAAUAACUAAAAUGUUAUCUAUAAUUAAGUUAAUAGACGAAAUAUGUAAUUUUGCUAAUUAAUAUUGCGUAAGUUUUUAUUUAUUUUAUAUACGUUGUUUUGGAUUGAAAUUUGAGUGGUCUUAAAGGAGAGAAAAACAAAAGAGAAAAGAAAAAUUAAUAGUAGAUACAAUAAUUUUGUUAGUCCAAAUAAUAUAGUUUUCUUUAAAAAUAAUAUCAUUCAAAUUUAUGUCACGUCACAAUGAGAAAAAAAAUGGCCUAACGACCUUGUAUUACACAUCAUCAUCAUCAUCCAAAGUCUAAACAAUACAUCUUCAGUUCCUAUAAAUACAAGAGUGAACUCCACUAAUAAAUCACACAGGCAAACAAUUAACUUAUUAAUAGUUUGUUAUUUCAUACAUUAAUUAGAAAUUUAUAAUUCAUUAUCAUCAUGGGUGUCUUCAACUUUGAGGAUGAAACCACAUCUAUUGUAGCUCCUGCUAGACUUUACAAAGCUCUAGUUACAGAUUCUGAUAACCUUAUCCCAAAGGUUAUUGAUGCCAUCCAAAGUAUUGAAAUUGUUGAAGGAAACGGUGGCGCCGGAACCAUCAAAAAACUUACUUUCGUUGAAGGUUAGUAUAUAUGUGUGAAAAAUUGUAGUGGCAAGAAACUUUUUUUAACCCUAUGUAAAGAAAAUGUUUAAAAACUAAAUUGGUUUGAGAACAUGUUUUCUAUUUUUAAUUACAAAAUUAAGUGUUAGAAGAAGAACAGCUACGCCGACAUGGUCGACAAUUUAACAAAAGUUCCAUAUCACAAUAAAUAUCUACUUAGCAUAUGUUUGAAACUACGAUGAGAUUACUCUCAACACACGACCACCAAAAACUUAUAUCCUUAGCUUCAGGUUUUUUACGGUAAAACAAAAUGGGAAACAAGUAUUAAGAAUUAACCCUUCAAAGAAAGUAUUAAGAAUUAUGAUACAUAACAUAAAUAGUGGAAGUCAACAAAGCAUUUUUGAUGACAUUAUUACUAGUAUUAAUUUUAUUUUUUUUUGAGGGGAAAGUAUUAUUAUAUUAUAUUAUUAUAUGCGUUUAAUGGAGAUCUAAUGUCGGUGUAAAAUUAUUUUACCGUCGGUAAGACCAAAAAUAAAUAAAUUAUUUUACCAUGACAACUAUGACAAUUCACCAUACUACCAAAUAAGCCCAUUUAAAAACAGUUUUUCAAUACUUGACCAGAAAAACUAGUAUUUUUUAAAAGUAACAUCAAAUAUUUGACUUGUUGAUUGUCAAGUGUAUAUCCUCUUUUCUUUUAGUGUUAUGUUAACUUGUAUCCUAAGAGUAUAAGAUAAGAAACUAAAUGUAGAGAUUUAACUUUGAAAUUUGUACAUCAUAAUUUUUUUUAAUGACACAUUGUGCAACAUAAUCUUAAAAUCUUUUUUUUUCUAAAGGAUAAUCUUAAAAUCUUAAAAACUUAUAUUUUCUUUUAUUAUAUAUAUAUUGGAUUAUUUGUUACUGUGUUUUUUAUAUAAUUUUUUUUUUAUGAGAAACAGUAAUUUUUUAAAAUUAUUUUUAAUAGCUUCUUAUACUAAUUUUUAAUAGGCUUAAUUGCACUUUUGGACCGCUAUCUUUNNNNNNNNNNNNNNNNNNNNNNNNNNNNNNNNNNNNNNNNNNNNNNNNNNNNNNNNNNNNNNNNNNNNNNNNNNNNNNNNNNNNNNNNNNNNNNNNNNNNGAUGCCACGUCAGCGUUGACCGAGUCAACAAUGAAUUUGGGGUCCAAAACUGCCAAAGAAUCAAAACAUAAGGGGCUGUUUUGUAUUUAAAUUAGUUAGGGGUCCAUAACCGCAACUUUUGAAAAGAUAGGGGUAUAAAAGUGCAAUUAAGCCUUUUUAAUAACCUAAUUGAACUAAGUGAAUGUCCAUCAUGUUAGUAAUUUGUGAAACGAAUCAAUUAUUAUGAGCAGGUGGUGAAACAAAGUAUGAUUUGCACAAAGUGGACUUAGUAGAUGAUGUUAACUUUGCUUACAACUACAGCAUAGUUGGUGGUGGUGGACUUCCAGACACAGUGGAGAAGAUCUCCUUUGAGUCUAAAUUGUCUGCAGGGCCAGAUGGAGGAUCCAUUGCAAAGCUUACUGUGAAAUACUUCACCAAAGGUGAUGCUGCACCUAGUGAAGAGGAAAUCAAGGGUGGCAAAGCUAGGGGUGAUGGUCUUUUCAAGGCUCUUGAAGGUUACGUUUUGGCAAAUCCUGAUUACUAAAGCAUAUAGCUAAUUGCUUGCUUGCUUUAUACAUGGUGUGUUGUGAUGCAUUUUAUUAUAUCAUGUGGGCUUGAUUUGGUUGCCAAAUGUAAUUUUCUAUUUUCCGUUUGCUGAAGUUUGAGAUUGUAAGUCAUAUGUGUACCUCCCUUCAAGAAAUUAUAAUAAUACUUCAUCUAUUCAUUUUUACUUUUUUUUUAAAAAAAUAAAAAUUGUAUGCAACUAUUUAUAUGUGGCUUUCGAAUUUUAAGGUUAUUGUUAGAACGAAAACUAAUAACUGAAGAUUAAAUAAGAGAACGAAAGAAAAAACAAUGAACAUACAAUAUUUUUUAACACAGUUCAAUCAAUUGUACCUACCUAUGUGACUAUAGAUCAACUAUUGUUCUAUUUCUAUUACUGUGACAAGAAUUAGGGUUUCAUAUUACAAGCUGUAUAUAUGAAUUAUAUGUUAAGAGUCCCACAUCGGUUAGGAGUUGGCCUGACAAUUUAUUUAUAAGUGGGGGGCAAUCCUCACCUCACAAACUGAUUUUGUGGGGUUGUGUUAGGCCUAACCACGAUUUCUAAUUCUAUACUUCAUCAGUUAUACUCAUCAAUCUUUUAGACUCUAAGAUAUCUUGGUUAACCAAAAAAUAAUUGAACAUAAGACAACCCAUUCUCCAUAAAACAAUUCUCACACAAUCUUUCCAUAUCAACAUACACCGUGGCUUCUUAAAAAUAAUAAACCCUAUGAGAAAAGUAAAAAAACGAGGCAAUCUUGAGAACAUAGUGGCCAAAUAUUAGAGGACAAUUGGUAUGAAAUGAAUAAAAAAGGGAAAAAUCUUACAAAUGAAUGAAGGAGUACAAGAGUGUUUAUAUAAUGGAAGCAUGAAAAUAACUAUAACUAGAUCAAAAGAGAAAAGAGUAAAUGUCCUAAAAUGUCCUCUAUCUCUCUUGGUAUGAUUCUUUCUCUUAUCUUCUUCAUUGUGCAAUAUCCUCCCACAAGUUGGAGGUUGGUAGAUAUCCAACAUCCCCAACUUGGAUAGAAGAAGAUUGAAAGGCUGCAGAAGUAGUGACUUGGUGAAGAAGUCUGCAACUUGAUCUUUAGAGGAAAUAGGUAGUAGCUUGAAUAAUCCAGCUUACAUUUUUUCUCUAAUAAUAUGGCAGUCAAUCUCAAGGUGUUUGGUAAUUUGUUCAUGAAAGACUAGAUUAACAGCGAUGUAGAUAGCACUUUGAUUGUCACAGUAAUGAACAUGUGCUUUGGUACAUUGAAUCUCUGAUAAGGUAAAGCAACCAUUGCAAUUAACAACUAGUAGAUGCAAGUGCUCGUUAUUCAGCUUCUAAUGUGAUCUAGAGACUGUAAGUUGUUUCUUUGUUCUCCAAGAAACAAGAGAUUUGCCAAGAAAGAAUCAUUGACCAUAGAUUUACCACUUUCUUACAUGGAAUAAUUUGGUGAAUUUGCCAAAUUUGACAUCACAUCAUCGCGAUAUCUAAAAUUGUAUCGUGCAAUGAAGCGUGUCUUUGGUUUCAUGGUACAUAAAUACAAAAGUGAUUUUAUACACAUAAAAUUAAUUCUAAUAUGUGAUGUCUACCGAAUAUGUUUCUUUAGAAUUGAUUGUAUAAUUUGAAACUUUUAACUCUAAACUACAUUAAAGUUUACUGUUCAACCCAUCUACUAUUAAUUUAAACAUAAAUCAUAUCACAAUCAUCUCAUUUUUAACUAAAAUUAUUUUAACAAAAUCCGGUUGACAAAAUUCUAAUGAUAUCAUGAUCUUACUGAAGAGUCAAAAUUAAGCUUUUGAUCAAUUGCAGUAAUUCAUCGUAAUUUUGACAUAUAUGCUGUUUAUAACUAAAAAAAAAUUAUUGGUAAUGUUAACUUGUGUUCUAAGGGCACAUGUUAAGGAACUCAAAAAUAACAAUUUUACAUUGAAAAACAUAAUAUUUUAACUUUUAAGAAGUUAAAUGCACAACUUUUUGAUACGUACUUCUAUAAUUAGUUCUUUAACAUGUGCCCUUAAGGACAAAAAUUAGCAUUUGUCAUAAAUUAUUUGUAUUAAAUUCAACGUUUUUUCUUCUUCUUCUCUUUCUUCUUUCUAGAAUGGCGCCUUGAAUUGUUCAAAAAAAAAAGAAUGGCGCCUUGAGACUGCAAUAUUUAUAUAGACCGCAAUAUUUUCUCCAAGUUGAAUACUAUGCAAUACUAUAAGACUAGGACUCCCGAAUUUCCUCUUCUUUUUUGGAUAAUAUGAAGCAGAAAGAGUACACAUUUGUUGAAUAUAAUGCCGUAUAAUACGUGGUUCUUUGAAUGCUUCCAACUCAAUUUUUGACCUGUACACAAAAUUCUUCAGACUCACCUUAAAAUAAACCAUCUUGACAGUUUGUUAUUAUUUUUUUAAAGAGCAAAAUACGUCAUCGAAUUAAAGAAUAUUAAUCAAUUAAGUAAUUAAUUUUUUUGGUCUUGAUCAAUUAAUUAAUUAUACCAGCGGUAAACAUAAAAAGACGGAUCUACAGUCACGCGGCAACAAAUCCAAAAAAGUAUGUCAAUGUCAUAUUAUUUGGUAAAUAUUUUAUUUAUCAAUUUCAACUUUCAAGUUAAUAAACUAAGACCUCUCAAAAAAGGUAAUAAACUAAUAAGAAUAUUCUCUCAACAAAAAAUAAAACUAAGAAGAAUAUAUUUUGCUUAUUUACCGAAAAAAUAUUUUGCUUAGUCUAAAGAAGAAGAAUAUACUUUGCUUCAGCAAAAAAUGUAUUUUGUAUGUAUUGUAGUUGAGGUUUAUCAUAAAUUCAUAAUGCUAUUGUAGUUGAUAUGAGACGAAUAGUCCUUUAUCUUUUUUGUCCUUUAUACCAUAAAAGAUUAAAUCGAAAAAAGAAAAAGAUAAAAGACGAAAAUGUUACUUAAUUAUAACAUAAAUUAUUAAAUCAAGAAGAAAUGAUAAAUGACGAAAAUGUUAUCUCAAAUUAAGUCAAGGCACGAAAAAUGUAAUUUUGUCAAUUAUAUAUAUUGCUUAAGUUUUUAUUUAUUUUAGGUCAAAUACCUCUCGGAGUCCUUUAAGUUUCACGUUUGUAACGGAUAAGUUUUUUAAUUUUUUAAAGUUUCAUAUUGGUCCUUUAAGUUAUUGAAAAAUUAUGUCGUUAACCUUUCAGUCAACCUCCGUUACAAAAACGUUGAGAUGUCCAUUAUGAUUGACAUGAUAUAAGGCGCCGCGUUUUUUCCAUUCCAUCGUGUUCCAAUUUGAAGAAUCUAGGCAAUUUGAAGCCAUGCUUUUCUUAAAAAAGCUUCAAAUUGGUUGUUAAUGAGGUUAGGGUUUUCAAUUUGGGGAAGAAUGGGUGAAGAUUGAAGAAGAGUGAUGAGGAAUGUGAUGGGGUAGUAUUGGAACACAUUGGAUAGGCCAGAACAUGGCGUUUUAUGCCACAUCACAUAUUUAACGGACAAUUAAACUUUAUUGUAACGGAGGUUGACUGAAAGGGUAACGACGUAAGCUUUUAAUAAUUUAAAGAACCAAUCUAAAACUUUAAAAAUUUAAAGGACUGAUCCGGUACAAACGUAAAACUUAUCUCAGGAGAUAUUUGACCUUUAUUUUAUAUAUGUUGUUUUGCAUUGAAAUUUGAGUGGUCUUGGAGGAGAGAAAAACAAAAAAGAAAAAUAAAUAGUAGAUGCAAUCAAUAAUUUUGUUAGUCCAAAUAAUAGUUUUCUUUAAAAAUAAUAUCGUCCAAACUCAUACAAUUAAAAAUAGUAUUCAAAUUUUAUGUCACGUCACAAUGAGAAAAAAUAGCCCAACGACCUUGUUUUACACAUCAUCAUCAUCAUCUAAUGGCCUAUCUAAAGUCUAAACUAUACAUCUUCUUUUCCUAUAAAUACAAGAGUGAACUCCACUAAUAAAUCACACAGGCAAACAAUUAACUUCUUAAUAGUUUGUUAUUUCAUACAUUAAUUAGAAAUUUAUAAUUCAUUAUCAUCAUGGGUGUCUUCAACUUUGAGGAUGAAACCACAUCUAUUGUAGCUCCUGCUAGACUUUACAAAGCUUUAGUUACAGAUUCUGAUAACUUUAUCCCGAAUGUUAUUGAUGCCAUCCAAAGUAUUGAAAUUGUUGAAGGAAACGGUGGCGCCGGAACCAUCAAGAAACUUACUUUCGUUGAAGGUUUUUAUUUUUAUUUUUUUAUUAUAAGUAAUCUAAUGGUUAGAAAUCUUAAUUCUUAAUACUUGUUUUUCAUAUUGUUUUACGAUAAAAAACCUGAAAAUACACAUAUAUGUUUUUGGUAGAUUACUCUCAACACACACGUAUAUCAAAACUUAUAUUUGCAGUUUCAACAGUAAAACAAUAUCGGAAACAAGUAUUAAGAAUAAGGCUUAAUUGCAGGUCUGAUCUCUUAUGUUUACUUUAGUUUUUAAGUUGAUCCUUUAUGUUUUAAAAGUUUUAAGUUGGUCUCUUACGUUUUAAAAGUUUUAAGUUGGUCCAAAACGUUACUCACGUUGGAAUAAGUUAGUCCCUCCAGUCACUUAACGUUUAAAGAUCCAUGUUGACAAUAUGGGUGAUGAAACUUAACUUAUUUAGAAAAUCAAUUUUAAAACAUUUUUUAUUUUUUUUUGUUUUAUUAAACUCAAUAUCAUGUCGCGGAAGGACUAACUUUAUUCCAAUGUGAGUAACAUUUGGACCAACUUGAAACUUUUAAAGCGUAAGGGACCAACUUAAAUCUUUUAAAACAUAAGAGAGUAACUUGAAAACUAAAAUAAAUAUAAGUGAUCAAACAUGCAAUUAUAAGCCUAAAAAUUAAGAUAUAUAACAUAAAUAGCGGAAGUCAACAAAACACAUGAGAAUAUUCUUUUGAUGACAUCAUUACUAGUAUUUUUUUUAAAGAAAUCAUUACCGGUAUAUUAUUACAUCAUAGAUCUUAUCUUCGUGAGUUUAGCUCAGUUGAUAGAGACAAUGUAUAAUAUAUGCAAAGACCGAAGUUCAAACAUCAGUCACCAUAAAAAAAAAAUUAUGGAUCUUGCUAACAAGUGCCCUAAAAGCAUUGUUUAAAGAACCCACAAAAAUAAAUUUUGUCUUGAAAAUAUAAGGCAAACACAUGUAAAAAUCAUAACUAUACAAUUUUCAAUAUAAAAAUUACUAUUUUUGAAUGCUUAAAUAGUGCCCUAAGAACACUUAUUAACAUUUUUCUGAUAUUAUAUGUGCUUAAUAGAGAUCUAAUGUCGGUGUCUCAUAAGUCAUAGCUCAACUGGCAAAAAUACCGAAAUUGUUAUGCCGGACGUCAUGACCGGGGUUCGAACCUCAAUACCUCCACUUUGUGUGUGUGAGUUUAUGGUGGCUUUGCCAUCUCUUCUAUAUACCAAAAAAAAGAGAUCUAAUGUCAGUGUAAAAUUAUUUUACCGUGACAAUUAUGACAAUUCACCAUACUACCAAAUUAGCCUAUUUAGUAACCCUUUUUCAAUACUUGAUAGAAAAACUCUUUUUUGAAAGUAACCACCAUAUGUUACUCUUGUGGAUUGGAUUAUUUGUUACUAUGUUUUUUAUAUAAUUAUUUUUUUGUGAGAAACAUAAUUUUUUUUUAAAUUAUUUCGGCUUAAAUACAAUUUUGAUGCCCCUAUUUUUAAAAUUGUUAAUUUUUGAUACCUUUAUUUUUAAAAUCUGUUUUUUAUUCAAUUAUUUAAAAGGCUUAAUAGCAGUUUUAGCCCUUAAAUAUUACGAAGUUAAGAUUUUGUCCCCUAACAAAAUAAAAUACAAUACAUCCCCGUAAGUACUGCCCUUUUUGUAGUUUUGGCCGCUCAGACCAAUUUUGACCAAGUCAUUACUUAUGUAGACGCAACGUGUGUAUUUUUUUUAAUUAUUAAAAAAUAAUUAAAAUAAUAAUUUUUUUAUAAAAAAAAUUAAAAAAUUGAAAAUUAUACACGUGACGUCCACACAGCAUUUACUUGGUCAAAAUUGGCCUGAGGGGCCAAAACUGCAAAAUGGCAAUACUUAGGGGGAUGGAUUGUAUUUUAUUUUGUUAAGGGGCCAAAAUCGCCUAAUACUUACGGGGCCAAAACUGGUAUUAAGCCUAUUUAAAAAGUCAACAAAAUAUUUUGGUUUCAUUCCUCUCUGAAUGAUGUGGCAUGUCCAUUAAUGACAUGAUGUUUGUGAUUGAACUAAGUGAUUUCCAUGAUGUUUAUGAUUGUGAAACGAAUCAAUUAUGCGCAGGUGGUGAAACAAAGUAUGAUUUGCACAAAGUGGACUUAGUAGAUGAUGUUAACUUUGCUUACAACUACAGCAUAGUUGGUGGUGGUGGACUUCCAGACACAGUGGAGAAGAUCUCCUUUGAGUCUAAAUUGUCUGCAGGGCCAGAUGGAGGAUCCAUUGCAAAGCUUACUGUGAAAUACUUCACCAAAGGUGAUGCUGCACCUAGUGAAGAGGAAAUCAAGGGUGGAAAAGCUAGGGGUGAUGGUCUUUUCAAGGCUCUUGAAGGUUACGUUUUGGCAAAUCCUGAUUACUAAAGCAUAUAGCUAAUUGCUUGCUUGCUUUAUACACGGUGUGUUGUGAUGCAUUUUAUUAUAUCAUGUGGGCUUGAUUUGGUUGACAAAUGUAAUUUUCUAUUUUCUUUUGCUGAAGUUUGAGAUUGUAAGUCAUAUAUGUGUACCUCCUUUCAAUAAAUUAUAAUAAUACUUCAUCUAUUCAUUUUUACUUUUUUUUAAAAAAAUGUAUGUAACUAUUUAUUUGUUGUUUUUGUUAUGAAUAAUAUUAAUAAUAUAACGUGGAUUUCCAUUGUCCAUAAGCUUUCUAUAACUCCUAUGUUUUAGUCAUAUGACUCUUCAUACACUUAUACAAAAGUUCUCAUCUUUUCUAUUUUUGAUCUUAUCAUUUAGUUUAUUUUCUAUGAAAAGUUGAUAAUAUGAGGAAAUGAGUCUCACAUUUGGGGAUAUAUGUGAAUCAAUACACAUAAUGAUCAUGUGGACCUGAUAUAUAUUUUAUAACUUCAAUAGAUGCAUAACUAAAUGGUCACAUGUAUGUUUAGUCUCUACUCAAAACUAAAACUCUAUGAGAUUAUUUGAUCAACUAAUUUGAUUAAGAUCUCACUCGCUUUGUUUAAUAAGUGUUGAAUGUACAUGAGAAUUGGUAUUGAACAUAUAGUUGCAUAUGUUCAUGUAUACAUACGGGCUUGAAUAUCCAUUCAUUAGUUGUCUAAUGUUAAUUGUAUGAUCAAUAGCACUUUUGAGAUCAUAUCUAAUGUUACUUGAGAAUAUGAAAUCUUUCAUUUUGAGACAUCACUUCACAUCCAGCCAACAAGUUAUCAUAUGUAAGUCAUCCCCUAGUUCACAAUGAAUUUGAUUUUUGGUCUAUAAACAUAAUAUUUCCCAUAUAAGCAUUUUUGGAUGUGUUUGAUAUGUUUCAAUUGCUCCAAUAUAAUGCACUUAAAUGGGUCGUAUGAGAAUAUUGAGAAGCUAUUAUUGAUAUGAAUCUCAUCUAUUAUAAAAUAUCUUGAAUACAUAAUUAGAGAUUAAUUAUAGCUUAAUAUAUUGAUUAUCAAUUGAUAAAUUAGUUUUCUCAAUAUUAGGGGGAGAAAAUAAACAACUGAAUAUAUGAACCAUAAGUUCAAAUGGAUAUAAGAAGUUGAGUAUAUGAACCAGAAGUUCAAAUGAAUAAGAAUUGAAUAUAUGAACCUGAUGUUCGAAUGAAUAUAAACAGCUGAAUAUAUGAUCUAGAAGUUCAAAUGAAUUGAUUGAAAUAAAAAAGUAUGAUUAUCUCACCUUGAUCCUCAUAUAAAUCAGUGUAAACCAGAAGUUUAAAAUACGAUUUAUUUGCAAAGUUAAACAAACAAAAUAUCAACUACUAAUAAUCCAAUCAAAAUAGAUCAUGUCUCAUUUGAACAAUCUAACUUAAUGAAAAGAUGCAUUUUUAUGCAAAAUUAAACUAGCUUUGCAAAACGAAUGGUUUUUGGUGCAGUAGUCCAUGUAUGGAAGAUGUGAAAAUAAAAUGAGAAUCAUGAAUUAUUUAAUUAUAAAGUUGGGCACAUUGUUCAAGAGUAUUGAUGAAAACCAACUAUUAAUUUUGAAGAGAUCUAUUAACUAUAAAGUGAAUUCAAGUACAUUAUCAACUUGAUUAAGUCUAGCAUCACUUGAAAGCAUCAAUCUAUAUAUGAAGUACAUGUUACAAUAUAUUUAUAUGACUCACUUGGUAUUUUUAUAUAAAAUUUCCCGAAGGAAUUAAUUUUAUUGCGACAUACAAUUCAUAUUCUCAAGGAGAUUACUUAAUCAAAUCGAAAUAUAGAAAUGUGUUGAGUAAUAUUCUUAAUGAAUAUUUUCUAAAAAAGUGAUAUAAAAAUGAUACCAUUUGUACAUUUCUAAAUAAACCUGAGAACUCGUAGAGAAUUUUUGAAAGUUGAUUUAUUAAAGAAAAAAUAUUGAGAUGAAAUAUGUAGAAAGGGUCAAUAUUUAUUUGAGAUUACAAGUUGAGUAUUUGAAGAGUAACACUUUUGUUAAUCAAGAAGCUUAUACAACAAAGUGCUAAAAUCUUUAUAUAUGGACAAAUCUGUAGAUGUAACACUUAAAUCUCUUUGAAGAGUAACACUCAAAUGGUUGAAAAGUCACUGGAUGUAGACAAAGAUAUAGUUUGAGAAUUCGAGUAAAUUAUGAAGAACUAGUUGGUUCUAAAAUACCAUAUUGUAUUUUAAUUAAAGGACAAUAAUGUACCUUGAUAAUUAUUCAUGUUAUCAUAUAUUAUUUUUAUUUUAGAUAUGCAUGUUAUUUGUUUGAUCCUCAAUAUUAAUGUGCUUGAUUGAGGUUUAUGAUUGAACACAUAGAAGAAAAUUUGUGGUUUGUCUUUCAGAAAAAUGAGCAACAAUAAUUUAUGAAUAUAAUACCAUGUGCAUUAAUUGUUCAGUUGAAAGGAUAUAUUCUUCAGAAGAACGAUGAUAUACAUAAUCAACAAAUUUUUUCGUGUGAUAAUCUUGUAGACGUUUUCAUAAAGUCACUCCCAAGCAUGAAUUUUGAACAACUAAUACAAAAAAUUGAUCUUCAUCAUCUUGGAGAUGAUUGUUUGGAUGAAGGAGAGAUAUAAAUAUAUUCUGCACUCUAUUUUUCUUCACCAUGGUUUUGUUCCACUGAGGUUUCCUGGUAAUAUUUUUAAUGAGACAAAUAUAUUAGAUAUUGUACUCUUUUUCCUUCAUUAUGAUUUUUUUUUUCUGUCCUUUUCUUAGUAAGGUUUUAAUGAUGCAUAUCCUUCAUGAACAUCUAAAAGGGAGUAUUAUGAAUAAUAUUAUUAAUAUAAUAUGGAUGUCCAUUAUCCAUAAGCUUUCUAUAUUCCUUAACUCCUAUGAGUAAUGACUUUACUCAUUACAUUUGGCAUUUAGUCCUAUGAGUCUUUCAUACACUUGUAACUCAGGACAUUUAUAAGAUUUAUAUUCAAUGUAAAGAAUACACUUAAAAAGAGAAUAAUACAAAAACUUUCAUCUUCUCUAUGUGCUUUGAUCAUCUUCUCUAUUUUUUUUUUUUUCAUCUUGUCAUUUAGUUUAUUUCAUAACAGUUUUGAAAUUUGAAGGUUAUACUCAUCAAAUUUUUAGACUGAGAUAUCAUGGCUUACCAAAAAAUAAUUGAACAUAACACAACCCAUUCUCCAUAAAACAAUUCUCGCACAAUCUUUCCAUUCCAACAAACCCUAUGGCUUUUUUUCAAAAAAAAAAAACCCUAUGGAAAAAGUAAAAAAAAAAAAAACGAGGCAAUCUUGAGAACAUAAUGGGUCUCCCAACUUUUACUUCUAAUGUCUCAGAUGAAUGACUACCAGUAACACACGAUUAAGAUCACAUAAAUUAAUCACUGAUUAAUAUUUUAAGAGAAGUUUAUUGCCUAGAUCUUGAUCGUACCCGUCGUGGGUGUUGUUAAGAGUUAAUUUCAAUCUCCAUGAAAAUGUAAACUAAGCUUGCAAUGUGCAGAGGCUUGAAGAAGACAAUGAAAAAGAGAGAAAGAAAAUUUUAUUAUUCAACAAUCUAAGUAUUACAAUGAGGUGAUAUAGCUUUAUAUAAAGUGUAAUUAACUACUAUAACCUAUAGCUACUAACAAAAUAUAACUAACAUAUCUAACCAAUUGCAAAACAGUUACAAUUGGUUAGAUUAGCUUAGUUGUCAACAGUUACUUGUAGCACAAGUAACCACUGCAAUACAAUGUGAAUUAGGCUUUAACAACCCCCUCAAGUUGGAAUAGAUGUUAAUUGUUCCAAGCUUGGUCUGUAGAGUGUUGAAAGGGCCAGGAUGAAGAAGCUUGGUUAGAAUGUUAGAAAACUUGAUCCUACAUUCCUUUUGUCUAUUUUUUUUUUGUAUAUUAACAUCCUUUAACUAAUUAAGACUAAUUACUGUUAUAGAGUAAUCAAUAUUGUUGGUUAGAUUGAGUUAGUUAAACUAGUAGUUAGUUAGUUUUUCUAACUGUUACUUACAAUGUAAGUAACUGAUGUUGAUUGAAGUUAAUUGUUAUACCUGCUAUAUAAAUCAAUUACAUUUAACUCUAACUCUCAAGAAUGUCAAUAAUAUUUUGAUACACAUUAAGUUAGGAGAAGGGACAAAGUACAUUCAUAAAAACAAAACAUCACCACAUAAUAAAGGUAACCAAACUAAAGUUUAUCAUCAAUCCACCUAAUAGUUACCAACAUAAAGUUGUCUAAAAUAUAAAAGACCAUGAUAUGUUUGAUCUAACAAAAGAUACCAAAAAGCAACCAAGCUAAAGUUCAUCUAUCUUGUUGUUGAUGUUAUCACCCUCUCCUUCCUGUUGAAUUGAAGUGUUCAUAUUAGGCACAAUAUUCCCAAUAAUUUGCUUCAAGCGCUCCAUCUUCUGUCUUAGUGUUUCUUGUUCAAGAUUUUUCUUUUUAAGUUCAACGGUUAAUGCUUCAAUUUUAGCCCCCAUAACAGCAACUUUUUCUGAAGAAACUACAUCGGUAGAAAUUGAAGGCGAUGGUCUCAAAGAUUCUUUGAAAACAACAACUUGAGAUCCUAAUUUAAGUAUGUUCUCCUUCUUGUUAAUGCCUCCAACAAUUUCCAUAUAAAUACCAUUGUCAAUUUCUUUAGUAGGUUGUUGACUAAUAAUCUCACCACUUUGAGACUGUUUCUCAAACAUUUGAGUUUUGUACAUUUCCUGCAAAAAAGAGUUACUAUUAGUAACAUAAUUUAGAUUUAUGAAAGAUAACAAAAAAAGACUGAUGUAUACAUACAUCUAUCUUCGCUUGUGUUUCAUUAAACCACUUUUUGGUCUAUGAAGUUUUCGUAUAGCUCAAACCUUGUUGGUUCUCUAUCUAAUUCCACUCUCUAAAACAUAACCAACAUACAACAAGUUAGUAUAAACAUAUUUAAAUUGUAAUUUAAAGAAAAAUAAUUACUAACCAUUUUUUUCCUUUCUAUUCUAGCAGAUAUGGAUCCUCCACUAUGAACACUGUGUCCAACUUUAGAUUGCCUAUUUUGUUUAUUAGUCAUGGAAUAUUUUCGCCAUUUCUCUUCUUCCCAUUUAGCCUUCAAUUGUUUCAAGUUGUUUAUUAGUGAAGGAAUAGAAACAGAAGUUCCUUCUCGUUGUUGUUGCUUGGCUAAUUGCUUCUUCUUCCGGGCUGUUCUUUCGAUUUCAGAGUGAAAGAGUAAUUAAUCUUCCAGAAACAAGUUAGAAACACGACUGAUAAUAUAUAUACAAGAAGGAACUUCUUUUAUAUAUAUAUAUAUAUAUAUAUAUAUAUAUAUAUACACACAAGAAAUUAAUAUGUACAAAAUUGAUUAAAACAAAAAUUCUUGCUGCAAUGCUUAUGAUAUCUUAAUGUCAGUCCCUGGAAACGGUACCAUUUUGAUGUAGUAUCAAAAGUAAGUAUGUAUUAGUAUCAUAUCUAUAGGGACUAGUGCGAUAUUCGUAAGCCGUUCAACAAUUUUUUAUCGUUUUAAGUUAAGGUUUUGUAAAAUUGUUUGUUGCGAAAACCUAAUCGGACUAUAAUGCGAUAAAAUAAAAUUGAGUUAGACAGAGGAUUAAAGCUGUUGGGGUUAGACUUCAUUAAGAAAAUGUCGCAUAUAUUCUCUUAAUCAAGCAUAUAGAUUCUAGCUAUAAAUCAAUAUAUUAUCAUGUUUCACUCGACAACAUCAAUUAUGUCUAAGUAAUAUCGUGAAUUCAAUCGUAUUGUUUAGUCGACAAUUUCUCGGCCUAUUAAACAAUACAAUAACAUGAAGAGUUGAUACUUAAGUGAUUAUCAAAACCUAAAACCAUUUCUAGUAUUUAGGGGUUCAAUAGAUUAUUAUCCUAUGUGUAGAUUCAAAAGAUAUUUCUCAAUAACAUUUCAAAUCAUAAAUCAAGCAUGAAUAAAUAAUAUCAAUAUCAAUAAACACUAGAAUCAUAUAUUGCUUAAGAUCAAAGAGAAUACAUAGUGAGUUUGUUAAUUACAUUUUUAUUGUCAUGGUAGCCUUACAAAAUUGGAAGAAAUGUGUGGAAUACUUAUCAAGAUGUUGAUUUCUCAAUUGAAUCUUGUUGAAUCCACCUUAUAACACUCUUGCUUUGUGUUUCUCUCUAAGAUUCGUUCUUGUUUCUCCCUAAAAGUACAAGUUAUCUUUGGUUGGAAAUGAAUGAGCGGCUUUUAUACUUUUUCUGAUAAGUGCCUGCUCGCCGAGUGAAGGGAGGCUCUCCAUGGCGUAAGACAUAGAAAGCAUAAAAUGACUUAUUCAUUAUUUUUGAGCUUUUCAUGAGAUAAAUUGUAAAACAAGUAACCAAAGUGUCUAAAAUAUAAAUGAUAUUUAAAUACUUUCUGACACUUAUCACGUACAUAAACGAUAAGAUACAUUUUAUUUCAAGUUUUAAGUUUUUAUGAAUUUAAAAAUAAAAUAAAAGAAAAUAAAGCAAUCGUUAGCGACGGAUUUAAAGACAAAUAUAUCUAGAGACAACAUUAGCGACGGUCUUUAGAGACGCAUGUAGGGACCAAUGUUGUUAGAGACGGACAACUGCAUUUCCAUCUCUAGAUUUUGUCUCUAAACAACUUUUGUAUGCACUUAUCUAACAUAGUAUCUCAUUAGAGACGGAUUUUUAGACGGAUAGUAAUCAACGACAGAAUGUUCCAUCACUAAAAUCCGUCUCCACACACAUCAUCAUAUUCCGUCUCCAAAUUAUAAAUUUCCGUCUCAUCUUCCGUCUCUGCUAGAGACGAAGUGUUUCCAUCUCUAAAUUCCGUCGGGAUAUCAAUUUUUUUUUUUUGAAGGAGCUUAUCAACUUUUUUUAGUAGUGCAAUAAAGAUCAAACGUAAAAAGUAAUAUGUUUGCAAAGAAUAAAAACUAAAAUCAAAACUUUUGAUAUUGAUGAUGACCAUUUGUAUAUUUAAAUUUAAAAAUAAUAAUUAGAGAGAUUGCAAUAUUUGGUCAAAGCUGAAUACUAGCAGUACUAUUAUAAGAGAACUUCUUAUUUGGGUUUGCAUUAUUUGAUCGUGCGAAGCAGAAAGCUAUGUCAUUCAACCAAAGAGUACACAUAUUUUGAAUUUAUUGAUGUAUCCUGUCUGGUUCUUUGAAUGCUUCCAACUCAAUUUUUGACCAGUUCACAAUUUUUUUCUUUCGUUUUUCAGAUUCACGUUAAAAUAAUGGGUUAUUAAUGUUUUACCUUCGUAAUAUAGACCAUUUUUAUUUUCCCUUGUAAUUUUUUUUUAGAUUCUAUCAUUGUAAUUUAAAGAUAUUUUGGUUUUGUCCCCGUAAAAUCUUUAUGACAUCAAAUUAUAAAAUUUAUGGCAAUUUGUCCCUUGUAAUAUGAUUAAAUUUCGGUUUAACCCUAUGCAAUUUGAACAAAUUUUGGUUUACUUCCAUGCCAUAUCAUGAAGGUUCAAAACCAAAAAUUUUCAAAUUACAAUGACGAAAACCAAAAAAAAUAUUUAUAGAGAAGAAAACCGAAAAUAACCUGAACCCCGAACAUGACAAAAAAAAAACUACUAUUUAACCCUAAAAUAAACUCAGCUUGAUUUUUUUUUUUUUUAAUAUUGAGUUAUAACAUUGAUGAUUUAGUUUGUAUAUAUCUUUUAAUUAAUCAUUCUCUCUUUCUCAAAAAUAAUUUAUUUUAGGGUUAAUUAAGUUUUUAGUUCCUAUAAAUAUUCACAGUUUUGUUUUUAGUCCCUACAAAAUAAAAUCACACUUUUUAGUCCCCGUGACAUUAUCCUUAAGCAUUUUAGGAACCAAAAUUGUUGAUAGAAAUUUUUGACAAGGACUAAAACUGUUGAUGGAAAAAUUUUAUAGGGAUUAAAAAUGCUGAUGGAAAAUUUUACAGGAAUUAAAAAGUGUGAUUUUAUUUUGUAGGGACUAAAUACAAAAUUCUGAAUAUUUAUAGAGACCAUUUACUUAAUUAACCCUUUAUUUAAAUCAUUCAUCAAAAUACACUAAAAUCAUCAGUAUCACAAAAACUCAAUAUCGUCCAAAUAUUUUCCCACAAGUAUAAUUUUUUUAUUUGCUUUUAGACUAAUGGCCAACAUACACGUACAUACUCUCAAUAAAACGUGCUUGAAGAGAAUGAAAUGCAGUGACAUGAAUUCAAACCCAAAAUUCCGCAUAAAAUAUCAUCACAACCAAACCACAAUGCUACAACAAACACAUAUUUUAGAUUUUAAUUAUUCCAGUGGUAUAUCAAAAAAAUGUAUAUCAAUGUCAUCCUAUUUUCUUAUUAUUUUAUGGAACCCUUCUUUUAUUUAUCAAUUUCAACUUUCAAGUUAAUAAUAAACACAUGCAAAUAAUUUUUUUCUAUAAAAUUUAAAAAGCAAUAUUAAUAGUACAUAUUAUCUCCCUCAAAAAAAAUAGUAGAUAUUAUCAAAAUUCAUAUCCCAAUGUGAAUAAAAAAUGGCCCAAGGACCUGGUAUUAGUCAUCAUCUUCCUCUAACGUGCCAUCCAAUAACAUCUUCAGUUCCUCCUAUAAAUACCAUGCUGAACUUCACUUAUAAACCACAGCAAGGCAAGCAACUUCUUCAUUAUUUCUUUCUUACACUAGCAUUAUAAUUCAUCAUGGGUGUCAUCAAUUUUGAGGAAGAAACCACCUCUGUUGUAGCUCCAGCUACACUUCACAAAGCUUUUGUUACAGAUGCUGACAACCUUAUCCCAAAGGUUAUUGAUGUCAUCAAAAGUAUUGACAUUGUUGAAGGAAAUGGUGGCGCCGGAACCAUCAAGAAACUCACUUUCGUUGAAGGUCAGUAUAAAUAUAUUUGUUAUAUCUCUUAUAAGCAAAUCUUACAAUUAUUAAGAUUUAGGGUUUAUUAGGGUUAUUUUAGACGUAAGUUGCACCGACACUUCUGAUUGAAGGUGUGUCUUGACGUCCGACAUCACGACACUUGUGAUUACAUUGAAUUAUGUCAUUUUCUUAAAAUUUUAUCGGCGUCGAUGUGUCCGUGUUGUGUCUGGUGUCUGUGCUUCAUAGUUUUAGACAAAUUCUUGUACCAAUUUUUAAAAACCUAAAUAUAUCAAGUAAUAAUGGUCAUGAUAUUAAUAUGAUUGUGAGAUGAAUCUAUAUAUGACAUGCAGAUGGUGAAACCAAGUAUGAUUUACACAAAGUGGAGUUAGUAGAUGAUGCUAACUGGGCUUACAACUACAGCAUUGUUGGAGGUGAUAGUCUUCCAGACACAGUAGAGAAGAUUUCAUUUGAAGCUAAACUGUCUGCAGGUCCAAAUGGAGGAUCCAUUGCAAAACUUAGUGUGAAAUACUUUACAAAAGGAGAUGUUACUCCAAGUGAAGAGGAACUCAAGAGUGGCAAAGCUAAGGGUGAUGGUCUUUUCAAGGCCCUUGAGGGUUACUGUUUGGCUAAUCCUGAUUACAACUAAAGCAUAUAAUUAAAUGCUUAUUCAUGGUGUGAUGUGACACAGGAUAAGCUAUAUCCAGUUUGCUUAAUUUGGGUACCAAUGUAAUUCUCUAUUUUUCCCCCUUUCCUUUUGGUAAGGAAGUUUGAGUGUGAGAUUGUAAGUCAUGAGUGCCUCCCUUCAAAACAUUGUCAGCUUUUUUUAAUAAAGAGAUUGUUACUAUUUAUAUAUGUGGCUUUAAAAUUAUAAGGUUAUAGUUAUAGUAUUAACUUUUUUUCGUGUCAGAAAAAAGUUAAAAAUAGACUUUUGUUACGGUAAUUUAUAAGGUUAUAAUAAUUUUAUAUUUAUAUUAUUGAAGAGAGUACAUUAAUUAGACUCAAGUGAUUAGUGACCUUUCUCUCAAGAAGAAUUGUUCUAGAGAACCCGAUUUUAUUUUUGGUAAGAAUAAUUUUUGGUCAAACUUUAUUCUUCUUCCUAUCAAACUCUGGAUUACUAAUACCCCUUUCUCGAUGAAUUUGAAAGUUAAGAUAAAAAAAGUGUAAUUAUGUGAGUGAGUCAUUAUUAAAAGGUGAAAGUAUAUUCGGAAUCUGUUUAUUAAUUAAUAAAACUCAUUGUAGAUUUUAACCAAACAAUUGAGUUCAAGAGGUUAAUGAGUAUCCAACUAAUGAAUUGUUUAGUCGAAUCUGAGUUCGACUCUUGGGUAUAACUAUUCUUGGUCAUACUCUAUUUUCUUCCCUGCAGAACUCCAGAUUAUAUCUAGGAAACGAAGGGUUACACAAAAAAUAUAAACUCUUUGUAUGUUUCAACAUAAUAACGUUAAAAAACAAGAAGUAUAUAACAAUGAAGGGAGGAGACUUUUGAAUAAUAAUUGUAGUACUUUUCCUUAUAUCUAAGAUCAAGGUUGUCAAAAUUGAAUUUUGUUUCAAGUGGAAAGGGAAGAGUAAAAUCGAAAAUCGUAAAAUCGUAAUCAAAAUUGAAGGAUAUUAGUCAACUAUUUUUGUAGAAUCUAUAUAAGAAAUCGUAAAAUCGCAAUCAAAAUCGAUGGAUUUUACCAAAACAAAAAUAAUAUUAAAUAUAUGUUAUAAAUGACUCAGUUUAAUCUCCAAGUCUUUCGGAGAGCACUAAGGCAGAGAAAAAGAAGAAGAAGCUCGUGAACAAAGGAAGGUCUGCUAGCUUUAACUCAGCCAGAAUGAGGGUCCGUGCCCAAAAGAGUAACUCCAAAGCUGUCUUAGCUUUUCUGUAUUAUGGUGGAAUUAGCCACCUCCUUCCUUAGGAUCUUUCCAUUAUAAGGGUAGAUCUAGUUUUCCUUUUCGCAGGUUAUACACUUUCUGACUCUGUUGUAUUGAUUCAUGCAUCUCCUGUCUUUUAUAUUUUAGUGCUUUGAUAAAAGAAAAAGACUCAGUUUAAACUCCACAAAAUACUUAUACAUAAAUGACAAAAAAAUGAACUAAAUCCUCCAAAACCUUUUAAAAUCCUGUGAUUUUGCAUGGAUUUCACGAGUUUGUGCGAUUUGGAGGAUUUUGCCUAUUUUAGAAUUUUGUUAUGGAUUUGAGCCGUUGAAAGUGAAUAAGAUCGCAAAAUCCUAGAUUUUUAAGAUUUAAGUCGAGAUUUAAUCAACAAUGUCUAAGAGAUUAAGACCAUGACCAUCAUUAUUUUAUUUGUUGCUUGAUACUUACAUACGAAACUGGAAGGUUUAUACAUUUUGCUAAAAAAUUACCAAAGCAAGCAUAUGAUACAAUAACUAAAUAAUAUAGAAGAACUAUAUGCUCUUAGUUUAUUAUAUAUAGAAGAACUAGAAGACUUAGAAAAAGAUACCUCGGACAAUAAAUGAGGUUAUGUUGUCGUUGAAUUUCAUUACUGGAAUAGGAAUAUAUCAACAAAAGAACUGGAAAUUGUAGUACAAAGUAAUAAAUUGAUGCUCUUGUAAACAAUGAUAAAAUUGAGAAGGAGCCAAUAACUUGCUCAUAUAAAGCAUGCAGUUUUUUCCUUCCCAAGAUUGGUGUUUAUUUCUAUCAAAAUUAUUGUGAAGUGAUCAAAGAAGAUGUCAUCAAUGCUAUCUGCAAUCUUUUGUUUUUGGAUGGAUGAUGCCAAACUUCAAUGCCAACACCUUGAUUCUCAUUAUAAAAAUAUCUAAUGUUGAUACCAUUGAUCAAUGCAUGAUAAUAACAAUGGCUAGUUUCAAAUUCGAAGGUUAUUGCUUAUAGGAACAAAAAGGUUAUAUUCAUGGCAGGAAUGUUAGAGAAAGUGUUUUCCUAGCUUCUGAAGCCAUCAUUAAUCUUUUGCAAACCAAGUAUUUUGGUGGUAAUCUAGCUCUGAAAAUAGAUAUAGCCAAAGCUUUUGACACUUUGGAGUAGUGUUUUACAGAUCAAUAACUUGCUUGACUUCAAAAUUGGCACUUUUCCUUUCAACAACCUGGGUUCCCUAUCUUGAGAGGAAAAGUUAGAGCUAUUCAUCCGCAAGGUGUUGCUGAUAAAGUUAAAAAUAAGCUAGUAGCUUGGAAAGUUUCCCUUCUCUCAAUUGGUUGACAGGGUUCAAUUGAUCAUUUUUUUCAUACAUUGUGUAUUAUACUCAAACUCUGUCAUACAAUUGUUGGCAGGGUAAAAUGUGACAUGUUUGUAACUCACAUUUGAAAUAAAAAUUUAAUUAGUUAAUUUUUAUUUCCGUCAUAUUCCAUUGUGUAUUAUACUCAAACUCUUGCAUUUUUACACGUACUCUCUAACUUUUGUGCUAAUUGCAAUUAUAAUUUUUCAACCCCAUCGAAAUCAUGCUAUGAAAUUAUCAUGCCAUCAACAACAUAUAAAGAGAGUGCAAAGUACAACCAUGUGAAAAAUACUGAAUAAACAAACACUACUGGAAUCUCUCGUUUUUUUUGCGGAAUUUUCAGUGAAAUCCGCAAAAAAUUCCGCAGAAAAAUUAAGAGUUUCAAGUAGUGAAAGUAAUCAUGACAACUAGUAGAGAGGUCAAAAGAUAGUAUCAUAAAUAUGGAAAAUCUUUCAAACAAGGAUGCUGAACUUCUUUCUUUAAAAAAAAAAAAAAGGAUGAUGAACUUUUUUUGGUUAGAUUUUACUUUUACCAAACUUUAGAUUAUUAUUAUGACCUCUUUCUCUAAAAAUUGGAGGAUUAACACCAAUAAAAAAAAAAGAUAAAGGACUUUGUUUAAUCAUAUAUAUCGAGGAGCUUCUUCAACUUACAAACUUUAUAUAAUAAAAUAAUAAUAAAUUUCUUUUUUGAGGUUAAGUUUUGUAAGAAUAUCUUUUUAUCAAAUUGCUAGAGUAAGUUAUAUAUAUAUAUAUAUAUAUAUAUAUAUAUAUAUAUAUAUAUAUAUAUAUAUAGGGAGAUGCUACAACACAUCCACCUAUUUUUGUCAAGGUGUGUUUUUGCAUUGUCCACCUUUUUUGUUUUGACUAAAAACCCAUUUUCUCCUUUUUAAAAACAAGUAAAAGUGAAGGGCAAUUCUGUCAUUCGCAACUUAAGGCUACCAUUCGCAAAAUUAAAAAAGGUGUAACGUCUCUCAUAUAUAUAUAUUUAAAUAAUUAAUAAAAUUUAAUUAAAAAUAAAUCAUUUGAAAGAAUUUAAAUUUGAAUUUCGAGUAGAAUAAUCACCGACCAAUCUUUAUUUAUCCGACCGAACUCCAAAUUACGAGAGUUCAAGGAGAGUCAGGAUGAAAAAAGAAAAACUUUCUAUAUAUUUCUCGAACUACAGGUUCUAGAAUGGCGUCUAGAGGCUGCAAUAUUUAUAUAUUGAUAUAAGAAACAAUUGAGAAGGACUGCAAUAUUUCGUCAAAGCAGAAUACUUUGUAGUACUAUUAUUAUAUAAGCUGAAUAUCCUCUAAUUUGUUUGGGUUUGUUUUGAUAAUGUGUAGCAGAAAGCUACGACUUUCAGAGUGCUAUGAUUUUGAAUAUAUUGCCGUAGAUUAUGGUUUUGUUAUUUAAAUGCUUCAAAACCAAUUUUUGACCUGUUCACAAAAUUCUUCAGAUUCACCCAAAAACAAAUUCAGAUUGAGAGUUUCUGUUUUUUUAAAGAGUAACACGUCACUGAAUUAAAGAUGAUUAGUCAAAGUGAUAUUAUUUAUGAAUCAAAAUACAUACUAUAUCAUAUGAAUAUAUUAUAUAUCAUAUGUGACCUUGUAUACGACAAAUUUUAAAAAUACAUAACUAAGGUGCACGAUAUUCGAUAUUAAAAUUUUGGAACUAAAGUAUGAUUUCAGAAUUAGUUAUCCCAGUGCUAAACAUAAAUGGACGGAUCAACACGGCAACUUAUCCAAAAAAAUAUAUAUGUCAAUGUCAUCCUAUUUUACUAAUAUUUUAUGAAAAAUGUUAGCAAAUGCCCUUAAGAAGUUUGAAUUAUUUUAUUUUAUUUUUAAAUUUGUGUAUUCAAAACAUUCAAAUAUUUAAAAAUAAAUUUUGCUACAUAAAAGUUAUCAAUUGCUUACAUUUUUAAUCCUUAACAAAUGUUCUAUGGACUCCUUCAAAAAAAAAAUGUCUUAAGGAUAUAAUUUUUGAUGAAUCCUUAGCGAUACCUUUUCAACUUUCAAGCUCCGUCGGGUAUAAUCACAUCUAUUGAAUCUUUAUUGAUUAAUUUUUUUUGGAAAGGGAGUGAGGACACUAGGAAAACUUCUUGGAACGGUUGAAAUAAUAUUUGUUUGAGUAAAGAAACCGGUGGUUUAGGGGUUAGACAUAUGAGGAAGUUCAAUAAUACUUUGUUAGGGAAGUGAUGUUGGAGGAUAGAUGAUGAUUAUGGUAUAGGGUGUUGGUGGCUCGUUAUGGGGAGAUGAAUGGGAGGUUGGUGGUCAGAGUAGUUCAUCUUGGUGAAGGGAGGUAGCGAAAAUUUGUGAUGGGGAAGGUGUGGAGGGAGGAGGGUGGUUCGAGGAGAGUAUUGGGAGGAAGGUUGGUAAUGGGAGGGAUACCUUUUUUUUGGACGGAUCCGUGGUUGGAAGGUCAGCCUUUAUGUAGGAAGUUUAGAGUUUAGAUGACUAUUUGAUUUAGCGGAGAAUAAAUCGAUUACGGUGGUUGUGAUGUGUGAUUUGGGUAAUAAUAAUAAUUAUGAAGCAUAAAAAUAAUGUUAUAAAUAUGAUGUGAUAACAUUAUUAUUUGUUUCUAUAGAUCUAUAUCAUAUCUAAACCAGCAAAGGAACCUUAAGAGUACUAAAACACAAAUUUCACUAACGUUACCUAUAGUUAGGUCAAUUAUGAAGCUUGCCCCCAAUAUUCAAUCAUCUUUCUCAUUUUUAAUAGGCAAGUGUUAAUUGGUUUGGUUAGUUUUCCAUACUUGAACCAUGACCUUCUUCAUUAGUAUUCUUUCCGCUUUCGAAACUAUCUUUUAUAAAGGUUAUGUUAACUAAUAUCCUUAAGAUACUGGUUAAGAAAGAUAAAAUUAAAAAAAUUCAUUCAAAACAAUAAAUUCUCAACUUUCAAAAACAUAAUAUACAACUUUUUCAUACCUUUCAAUACAAUAUUUUUAUAUUAAUUUCCUUAACAUUUCCAAUUUCAUAAUGAUUUUUUAUUUAUUAAUUCUUUCUCAUAGUAUUUCAAUAUGAUGUGGUGGGGUUGGCAUUAGAGAGUUGACUUUAGGUAGGUAUAUUUAUAUAAGAACAUCUAUUAAAGGUGGUUAACAACUUAAAAUAAUUCAUCCUAAAACAACUUAAAAUAUUUCAAAACUUUGAUAAAAGACUAUAUGUUAUCUAAGAGGUGGUAAUAAUAAUUAGGGAGUUUCGACGGUACAUCCUUAAAUUAAGGUGUACUGAUACACCUAUUUCAUAAAUCAAUAAGUUAAUGAUCAUUUUUAUGUAAUAAAGAGAUAUUUAUCGACUUUUAUAUUUUAGAAAAUAUGUAGUUCAUAAGAAAAAACAUCAUUUCAUUUUUUGUAAGAAUCAUACUAAUUUUUUAACAUUUUAUCGAAAAAAAUAAUCGAUAUUCAUUAUUAUGAGUAAUAAAAAUUAAAAAAAAUUGAAUUUUGAUUUGCCGACACUUUUGAAAAAUAAAAUAUAAUUUAUAAUUGUAAUUGAUAGAAAAUAUUUUUUUUUUAUAAAAAAUAUCUCAUUAAACUAUUCAUUUAAAUAUAGGUAUACCGGUACACUCAAAUUUUUUGAGUGUGUCGUAGAAAUUGCCAAAUAAUAAUUAUGGUUCAAAUCCUACCCUUGACAUUUGAAUUAUAGUCAUUGGUGUCAUUGUUAUUGAUAAUAUUUUUCUCAUAUAAAUUAAAAUUAUAAUUUUAUGCAAUAAAAAAAUCCCAUUGAAGCAAGUUUGUAAUUAAAAUAAUUUUUUUUUUAAAUUAUCAACAAAACCAAAUAGUGUUCAUAAUCUUUCAAUUUUUUUUGGAUGAACUCUCAUAUCUUUCAUCAGAAGUCUCAAACUAAUACACACAUAAGCAUACACCUAAAAUCAAAUCUCUAACCAAAUUCUUAAUAAAUCUAGUUAUUUUUCAACCCUGCCACACCAUAAUGGUAGCUUUCACAUGUAAACAUUAGAUAUUAUUUUUCUUUUACUCAACAUAUUAGCUAGUUUGGAACUAGAAAUAUAAUAAUUUUGCGCAGUAGAAUUUAUGAGAGGACAAAUAUUAUAUAUUGUGCGACAAUAUGUUUAUUUUAUAGACGUCGUUUGCAUUUGGAAUUUAGACUGCUUUUGGUCCUUGAUGAGAGAAAAAGAAGAGAGAUAAAAAAAAUAAUGAAUAGUAUAUUCAAGAAUUUUGUGAGUCCAAAUAGGUUUUUAACAUAAAAAAUAAUAUUAAAUAAUAUUAUCCAAAUUCACGUCACAAUGUGAAUAAAAAAUGGCCUAACGACCUUGUAUUAAACAUAGGUCUAAACAAUACAUCUUCAGUUACUAUAAAUACUAGACUCAACUCCACAUAAACCACACAACAAAUUAAGCAACUUCUUAAUUAUAUUUACUAACUAAUACUUCUUUCACUAGCAAGUUAGCAUAUUAUAUAAUUCAUAAUGGGUGUUUUCAAUUUUGAGGAUGAAACCACCUCUAUUGUAGCUCCUGCUACACUUUACAAAGCUCUUGUUACGGAUGCUGACACCCUUACCCCAAAGGUUAUUGAUGCCAUCAAGAGUAUUGAUAUCGUUGAAGGAAACGGCGGAGCCGGAACCAUCAAGAAACUCACUUUUGUCGAAGGUCGGUAUAAAUAUAUGUGUAUUUUUUGGAUUAUUUUAAAGAGUCUAAUUGCGAAAUUCACACGGAUUAAGAGAAAAAUUGAUUCACUAUACAAAUAAAAUACAAUUUAUAAAAUAUAUGAGAGUGUUUAGUAGACACUCUUAUGAUUAACAGUUUUGGUUGCUAAUUAAUUGGUUUGAGAAAAUAUUUUCUAUUUAUAUUUCUAAUUAUAGAAUUGCCACUUUACCGUUUAUCAAUAUUUUUUAUCACUUUACCAGUAAUUGUGACACUUUGAUGUUAGAAGAAUAACCACGUUAUACUCGAAAAAAGUUCUUAGCCCAAAAUGGACAAUUUUACCAAGGUUGUAUUAAAGUAAAUUUAUACUUCAAAAUAAAAUAAAAAUGAAGUUUUUAUAAGAAAAGUAAAUUUCCGCUUAGUGAUCUCAUUCUUUAUGGAAUAGGUCAUCCUUUUAACGGUAUAUUUGAAAGAAUGCUAGAAUAUUCUUUUGGUGAUAUUAUUUUGUUCUAAUCGGAGUAUCGGUCGAGAAAUAAGUAUAGUUUGGUCAAAAUUAUCUUAUUGGAGAUUCAAAUUCUCCCGAACAAUUUGUCUUUGUCAAUUAACUAUUUAAACACAAUUGCUUGAUUAACUGGAACUUGAUUAUUUUAACCAAUGAUGUGCAGAUGGUGAAACAAAGUAUGUGUUGCACAAAGUGGACUUAGUAGAUGAUGUUAACUUGGCUUACCACUACAGCAUAGUUGGUGGUUUUGGGCUUCCAGACACAAUAGAGAAGAUUUCAUUUGAGGCUAAAUUAUCUGCAGGACCAAAUGGAGGAACCAUUGCAAAGCUUAGUGUGAAAUACUUCACCAAAGGUGAUGUUGCACCAAGUGAAGAGGAACUCAAGAAUGGCAAAGCUAGGGGUGAUGGUCUUUUCAAAGCUCUUGAAGGUUAUGUUUUGGCAAAUCCUGAUUACUAAAGCAUAUAGCUAAUUGCUUACUUGCUUUAUACAUGGCGUGUUGUAAUGCAUUUUAUUGUAUCAAGUGUGCUUGAUUUGGUUGCCAAUGUAAUUCUCUCAUUUUUUUUCGUUUUAUUUCUCU
This 36933-nucleotide long non-coding RNA is filed under the name Medicago truncatula (barrel medic). Its description in RNAcentral is "long non-coding RNA (MTRU_LNC008229)". The record is from RNAcentral. Lineage: Eukaryota; Viridiplantae; Streptophyta; Magnoliopsida; Fabales; Fabaceae.